AAUAUUGGUCAAUGGUCGGAAGACUGAACCAGCCAUGCCGCGUGAGGGAGGAAGGCCCUAUGGGUUGUAAACCUCUUUUAGCCGGGAGUAAUAAGGGCGGUGCGCCGUCCGAUGAGAGUACCGGCGGAAUAAGCAUCGGCUAACUCCGUGCCAGCAGCCGCGGUAAUACGGAGGAUGCGAGCGUUAUCCGGAUUUAUUGGGUUUAAAGGGUGCGCAGGCGGCGCGGCAAGUCAGCGGUGAAAUGUCCCGGCUCAACCGGGGAGCUGCCGCUGAUACUGUUGUGCUGGAGUGCGGACGGCGCCGGCGGAAUGAGUGGUGUAGCGGUGAAAUGCAUAGAUAUCACUCAGAACACCGAUCGCGAAGGCAGCUGGCGAGGCCGUAACUGACGCUGAGGCACGAAAGCGUGGGGAUCAAACAG
This 418-nucleotide ribosomal RNA is filed under the name uncultured bacterium. Its description in RNAcentral is "partial 16S ribosomal RNA". It matches the Rfam family "Bacterial small subunit ribosomal RNA", at positions 360 to 775 of the family's 1533-position model. The record is from RNAcentral.